AAUCGUGACAAUAGCGAAGGGGUCACACCUGUUCCCAUACCGAACACAGAAGUUAAGCCCUUCAAAUAAGCCGAUGGUACUUGGCGGGCGACCGCCUGGGAGAGUAGGUCGUUGCGGUUU
This 120-nucleotide ribosomal RNA is filed under the name Serpentinicella alkaliphila. The record is from RNAcentral. Lineage: Bacteria; Bacillati; Bacillota; Clostridia; Peptostreptococcales; Natronincolaceae.